AGAGGGUUAACCGAAUGAGACGCUUUGGCUUGAUUAAUUCUCCAGCCAUCGUUCAGAGAUUAACAGGAGAACUCGGAACACCUACACAAUGUUGUCUCCAGUAUGAGAGAAGCUGGUCUCACGAUUCCACGAACAAGAUGCAGCUUGCAUCGUCCACGAUUCGCCUCCUUGGCUAUCAGAUAACCAACAGCACCAUCCCGGUCCCCAAGAGCACCACGCGGCAACACCGCUUCUUGGAGCCCUCAAAGAUUACAUUCAACCAGCGUCAUAUGUGCAACAGUGCAUUCGUUUUCUCAGUCCUGAGUAAG
Molecule: long non-coding RNA, 308 nt
Organism: Ornithodoros turicata
Lineage: Eukaryota; Metazoa; Arthropoda; Arachnida; Ixodida; Argasidae
Exons: 3
Source: RefSeq, a predicted model, not a curated record